AUGCGCAGAUAUCAGGAGGAACACCGAUGGCGAAGGCAGGUCUCUGGGCUGUUACUGACGCUGAGGAGCGAAAGCAUGGGGAGCGAACAGGAUUAGAUACCCUGGUAGUCCAUGCCGUAAACGUUGGGCACUAGGUGUGGGGGACAUUCCACGUUUUCCGCGCCGUAGCUAACGCAUUAAGUGCCCCGCCUGGGGAGUACGGCCGCAAGGCUAAAACUCAAAGGAAUUGACGGGGGCCCGCACAAGCGGCGGAGCAUGCGGAUUAAUUCGAUGCAACGCGAAGAACCUUACCAAGGCUUGACAUGUACUGGUAACGCCUGGAAACAGGUGCCCCCUUUUGGGCCGGUAUACAGGUGGUGCAUGGUUGUCGUCAGCUCGUGUCGUGAGAUGUUGGGUUAAGUCCCGCAACGAGCGCAACCCUCGUUCUAUGUUGCCAGCGCGUUAUGGCGGGGACUCAUAGGAGACUGCCGGGGUCAACUCGGAGGAAGGUGGGGACGACGUCAAAUCAUCAUGCCCCUUAUGUCUUGGGCUUCACGCAUGCUACAAUGGCCGGUACAAAGGGUUGCGAUACUGUGAGGUGGAGCUAAUCCCAAAAAGCCGGUCUCAGUUCGGAUUGAGGUCUGCAACUCGACCUCAUGAAGUCGGAGUCGCUAGUAAUCGCAGAUCAGCAACGCUGCGGUGAAUACGUUCCCGGGCCUUGUACACACCGCCCGUCAAGUCACGAAAGUUGGUAACACCCGAAGCCGGUGGCCUAACCCCCUUGUGGGGAGGGAGCCGUCGAAGGUGGGACCGGCGAUUGGGACUAAGUCGUAACAAGGUAGCCGUACCGGAAGGUGCGGCUG
Molecule: ribosomal RNA, 842 nt
Filed under: Arthrobacter sp. H14
Lineage: Bacteria; Bacillati; Actinomycetota; Actinomycetes; Micrococcales; Micrococcaceae
Description: bacterial SSU rRNA
Rfam family: Bacterial small subunit ribosomal RNA
Source: RNAcentral